Molecule: ribosomal RNA, 460 nt
Filed under: uncultured bacterium
Lineage: Bacteria
Description: partial 16S ribosomal RNA
Rfam family: Bacterial small subunit ribosomal RNA
Source: RNAcentral
CCUACGGGAGGCAGCAGUGAGGAAUAUUGGACAAUGGACGAGAGUCUGAACCAGCGAAGUAGCGUGAAGGAUGACUGCUCUAUGGGCUGUAAACUUCUUUUAUAAGGGAAUAAAACGAGGCACGUGUGCCUUUUUGCGUGUCCUUUCUGAAUAAGGCUCGGCUAACUGCGUGCCAGCAGCCGCGGUAAUACGGAGGAUCCGAGCGUUAUCCGGAUUUAUUGGGUUUAAAGGGAGCGUAGAUGGGUUGUUAAGUCAGUUGUGAAAGUUUGCGGCUCAACCGUAAAAUUGCAAUGGAUACUGGCAGUCUUGAGUACAGUUGAGGUAGGCGGAAUUCGUGGUGUAGCGGUGAAAUGCUUAGAUAUCACGAAGAACCCCGAUUGCGAAGGCAGCUUACUAAACUGUGACUGACAUUGAUGCUCGAAAGUGUGGGUAGCAAACAGGAUUAGAUACCCGGGUAGUC